ACUGUCAUUAUGACUGAUAAUAGUUAUAAUAACUCACAUUUUCAUAAACUCUAGGCUAUGAAGGAAGAAAACAGAAGAAGCAGUGCCAAGCUCUUGAAGCCUCCAAGGCUAAUAAAAGAAUUAAAACUGCAUGAUCAUCUAAAGACAAAGGGGACAGAUUCGACCAUGGCACAACUAUUACUCAGUGAGCACAAAUGUUAAGGAGGCAAAGGCCUGACUCUUUUCUGGAAUGAGGAGGCACUUGGGAAAGAAACAUUAACUAGCAC
RNAcentral lists this long non-coding RNA (266 nucleotides) under Monodelphis domestica (gray short-tailed opossum). RNAcentral describes it as "lncRNA (ENSMODG00000036439.1)". Lineage: Eukaryota; Metazoa; Chordata; Mammalia; Didelphimorphia; Didelphidae. The record is from RNAcentral.